UAUUAAAAAUUUUAUUUAUUUUUAUUGUUAAAAACUGGUGUGGCUAACGGAAUAAUUAGACAAUCGUGUACUUUGUACUAAUGUAUAAGAAUUAAUUUUUAACAGUAAAGAUGAAUGAAAUUUUUAAUA
This is a non-coding RNA of Gossypium raimondii (Peruvian cotton), 129 nucleotides long. The record is from Rfam. Lineage: Eukaryota; Viridiplantae; Streptophyta; Magnoliopsida; Malvales; Malvaceae.